AACCGACACCCCAAUACAUAAUGUGCACUAAAUUAAGAAGUUUUAAGAAAAAUAUUAAGUAAAAGCAUUGCUAGCCGAAGAAGAGGUGAAGCACCCUUCGUGCUUUGAUAGAGGUUGUAUUUUUCAAAUGCCUGUUAAGGAGUUGCACAAGGAAGUAAGGAGUUGCACAAGGAAGGAGAGAUAGGCAGAUCCGAGCAAAGGAUGGAAUUAUCAGUAUUUGUCAAAAAAAAUUACUAAAAGAUGGAGGAUGUGAUUCAGAAGAUUUGAA
RNAcentral lists this long non-coding RNA (268 nucleotides) under Elaeis guineensis (African oil palm). RNAcentral describes it as "long non-coding RNA (EGUI_LNC012734)". The record is from RNAcentral. Lineage: Eukaryota; Viridiplantae; Streptophyta; Magnoliopsida; Arecales; Arecaceae.